Nicotiana tabacum (common tobacco) is the source of this 612-nucleotide non-coding RNA. NCBI's taxonomy places the organism in Eukaryota, Viridiplantae, Streptophyta, Magnoliopsida, Solanales, Solanaceae. The record is from RefSeq and is a predicted model, not a curated record.
AAUGAGAAAUUGCUAGUAAAUUAUUGUUGGCUUGCCUGACAGUGGUGUUCGGCACCAUCACGACCCUUAGUGGAUAGCGAAUAAGGUCAAGAAGGGGUUAAGAAUGGUAUGCUCAAUGGACAUAUCUCUCUUGAUAAUUUGAAGACUUUGUUAUUGUAGAAUAAAGGUAUGUAUUUGUACUUCUAGUAGAUUUUCAGUGUUGUAUAUUUUCAUAUAGUUAGUAUUUGUGUUGAAGCUAACGACCACUUUCGUUUCUUUAUUUUCGUGGCCUGAAUCUGAUUUCUUAAAUAAAAAACUCUUUGUCGUCGAGGUGUAUGACAAAAUACUUCAAUGAAUUAGAUUGUGUCUUUGGUUUCUUAUGCAUCCUUCGGAGGUAACAUAGAAAAUAGAAAAUUAUGAAUGCAUGUAUAUCAUAUUGUCAACAGCGGAGAGCCGAAUGUUUGACACGGUUAACAUCUGUAAUUCUUUACACCUUUUUCCUUUCUCCUUUUUCACCAUGCAGCAUGAGAGAUUAAAAUUAUAGAGAAAAACUUUGACGAGUUAUUGUUGCAACUAUGUGGAUUUUCUGUCUUUCAUUUUUUUUUACGAAUGAAAUAAACUGAUAUUACCCAA